This 811-nucleotide long non-coding RNA is filed under the name Dermacentor andersoni. Its description in RNAcentral is "uncharacterized LOC126517688". The record is from RNAcentral. Lineage: Eukaryota; Metazoa; Arthropoda; Arachnida; Ixodida; Ixodidae.
ACAAUGCGUCCGAUAUUUUAAGGCCACACGUGACCAACUGCGCCUACAUAGAAGCGAGCGUGAUUCAUAAAAUAGGUAGUCUAGUGCCUACUAUAGUCUUGCGCGCAUCGUAGUGCUGUGAUAACCUAAAUCAGGACAGCUCCAGGCCUCUUUCAUAAGUAGUUUACUGCUGAGGCUGUAAUUAUUCCGCACGCUUGAAAGUUCAACUACAACUUGCCCAUAAGUAACACCUAAUUUGAGACAAAUAUAAACGAGGCUUUAUGUUUAGUUCACCAAAGAUACAGGAGAAACCUUGUACAAAACUUGUUAAUAGGGAAACAACUAAGGGUCCAACGAAUAUUUGCAACGCUCCUGAUUACAUCAUAAAUGUUAACCGUGCCACUGCUUGCACUUAGCAUGUGUCUCAUCUCCAUUGCCGUACAGCUCACUAGCGACAUCAGUAACAUAGCUGAUGACGACCGUAUGGCGCUUUCGAAGACCUGCUUUUUUUUCUUGCGAACGCUGUAACUAUAAGGAAUUUUUGAGGCAUUGCAUAGGCAUCUGACAUAAAAUGCUCCUCCUUCUCUCAAAAUUUCAACUUUGUCACACAAUGAGUUCUUCCAUGACAUUGGGCAAACUUGCGCAGUUCCUAAUUCACGCUUGUAUAAGCAAUAUUGUACAGGGGACGUAGCGAGAGCAGGCUUGUGUUGAAUAGAGAGAGAGUUUGAAAAAAAGGUGACUUCACGCUCCGCUUGCGCGCUCCAUGCAGAGCGCACGCCUGCAUAAUUUAGCUCAGCGGUUCACAGCAGUUUGUGCUACCGCGGACUCUCUC